GAGGUGCAGCGACUGGUGGUGGUGGAGGUAGGAGCUUGUGCCCAAAUCAACGCCUGCCAUCUCCUAGGGUAGGAGAAGAGCUAAUUAUAAGUAAGUAAGGAGUAUAGUAGCAAUAAGGGAGUAAAAAUAAUGGCUAGAUAACAGUACCGAUAUUAUUAAUAAUUCGAUAUGCGAGGGAAGAUGUAGUGAUAGUGAUGAUGAUGAUGAUGAUGAGACGAUAAGAUGAGGAGAAGAUCGAAGAAGAGGAGAGGAGAGGAGAAGAGUGUAUGUGUGUGUAGUGUAGUGUCUCUUUGUGUGUUUCUUUAGGGUUUCUGUGGUUCUUGUUUUCUUGGAGGAGAGUAAACAAUGGUUUUUGGGGGGUGUGGGUGAGAAGAAAAAGGAGGUGAUGGAGGUUUAAUUUGGUGAAUUUUCUAAGCUUGUUUAUGCUGAUGGUGCUUGCUCAUGUGGAUUUGUGGUGUUAUUUUGUGAGCUAAAAUAUUUUUUUUGAAAGGGGAAAGGAGGAGGCUAGCUAGCUAGGAGGUGCACUGAAAAGGCAAAAGAUGGGACAAUGGUGGUGUGCAGGAUGGAGGAGGAGAGGAGAAGAUUGAAAACCAAUGAGAGAGAGAGAGGAUGGAGAAGAGAUCAAGGAAGAGGAAGGAGAGAGGAAGUGAUGGCAAAGAGAUAUGAGAAAGGGAUAGGUUAGUGGUCUU
This 689-nucleotide long non-coding RNA is filed under the name Oryza brachyantha (malo sina). RNAcentral describes it as "long non-coding RNA (OBRA_LNC002183)". Lineage: Eukaryota; Viridiplantae; Streptophyta; Magnoliopsida; Poales; Poaceae. The record is from RNAcentral.